CCGCCGAAAGAUCGAGACCCGUCUCGGUC
RNAcentral lists this small RNA (29 nucleotides) under Bombyx mori (domestic silkworm). RNAcentral describes it as "ovarian small RNA-4815". Lineage: Eukaryota; Metazoa; Arthropoda; Insecta; Lepidoptera; Bombycidae. The record is from RNAcentral.